This 24-nucleotide transfer RNA is filed under the name Moraea tortilis. Its description in RNAcentral is "partial tRNA-Phe". Lineage: Eukaryota; Viridiplantae; Streptophyta; Magnoliopsida; Asparagales; Iridaceae. The record is from RNAcentral.
UAAAAGGUCGGGAUAGCUCAUUGG